AACGAACGCUGGCGGCAUGCCUAACACAUGCAAGUCGAACGAGACCUUCGGGUCUAGUGGCGCACGGGUGCGUAACGCGUGGGAACCUGCCCUUAGGUUCGGAAUAACUCCCCGAAAGGGGUGCUAAUACCGGAUAAUGUCUUCGGACCAAAGAUUUAUCGCCUUUGGAUGGGCCCGCGUUGGAUUAUCUAGUUGGUAGGGUAAAAGCCUACCAAGGCGACGAUCCAUAGCUGGUCUGAGAGGAUGAUCAGCCACACUGGGACUGAGACACGGCCCAGACUCCUACGGGAGGCAGCAGUGAGGAAUAUUGGACAAUGGGCGAAAGCCUGAUCCAGCAAUGCCGCGUGAGUGAUGAAGGCCUUAGGGUUGUAAAGCUCUUUUACUCGGGAUGAUAAUGACAGUACCGGGAGAAUAAGCUCCGGCUAACUCCGUG
Molecule: ribosomal RNA, 433 nt
Filed under: uncultured bacterium
Lineage: Bacteria
Description: partial 16S ribosomal RNA
Rfam family: Bacterial small subunit ribosomal RNA
Source: RNAcentral